Non-coding RNA from Triticum urartu, 135 nucleotides. The record is from Rfam. NCBI's taxonomy places the organism in Eukaryota, Viridiplantae, Streptophyta, Magnoliopsida, Poales, Poaceae.
CAACUACUCACUCUGUCCCAAAUUUCUUGUCUUAGAUUUGUCUAGAUACGGAUGUAUCUAAUACUAAAAUGGGACUUGAUACAUCCGUAUCUAGACAAAUCUAAGACAAGAAUUUUGGGACGGAGGGAGUACUUU